AGUGAACGCUGGCGGCGUGCUUAACACAUGCAAGUCGAACGAGAACGGAUUAUAGCUUGCUAUAAUUGUCAGCUAAGUGGCGCACGGGUGAGUAAUAUAUAGAUAACCUGCCCUCUAGAAAGGAAUAACAGUUGGAAACGACUGCUAAUGCCCUAUAUGCCUUUAAUACAUAAGUAUGCAAGGGAAACGCUUUAGUGCUAGAGGAUGGGUCUGUAUGGUAUCAGCUUGUUGGUGAGGUAAUGGCUCACCAAGGCUAUGACGCCUAACUGGUUUGAGAGGAUGAGCAGUCACACUGGAACUGAGACACGGUCCAGACUCCUACGGGAGGCAGCAGUGGGGAAUAUUGCACAACGGACGAAAGUCUGAUGCAGCAACGCCGCGUGGAGGAUGACACAUUUCGGUGCGUAAACUCCUUUUAUAUAGGAAGAUAAUGACGGUACUAUAUGAAUAAGCACCGGCUAACUCCGUGCCAGCAGCCGCCGUAA
Molecule: ribosomal RNA, 485 nt
Filed under: uncultured bacterium
Lineage: Bacteria
Description: partial 16S ribosomal RNA
Rfam family: Bacterial small subunit ribosomal RNA
Source: RNAcentral